GGUGAGUAAAUACGCGGGCAACCCUGCCCCCUUCUGCUUUCGGGAUAAAGCUUUGGAAAACGGGGUCUAAUACCGGGAUGUGCCCUGUCUGGUCCGCAUGGGCUGGGCGGGAAAAAGAAUGUUUUUCGGCGGGGGAAUGGGCUCCGCGGCCCUAUCAGCUUGUUGGUGGGGUGACGGCCUACCAAAGGCGUCGACGGGUAGCCGGCCUGAGAGGGGUGGUCGGCCACACUAGGACUGAGAUUACGGCCCAGACUCCUAAGGGAGGCCGCCAGUGGGGGAAAUUUCACAAAGGGCCCCAGCCUUAUGCAAGGAAGCCCCGGGGGGGAUGGAGGCUUUCGGGUUGUAAGCCCCUUUCGGCGCGGGAAAAGGCUCCGUUUUGCGGGGUUGAGGGUAAGGGUCAAAGAAGCGCCGGCUAACUACGUGCCAGCAGCCGCGGUAAUACGUAGGGCGCGAGCGUUGUCCGGAAUUAUUGGGCGUAAAGGGCUCGUAGGCGGCUUGUCGCGUCUGCUGUGAAAACGCGGGGCUCAACUCCGCGCGUGCAGUGGGUACGGGCAGGCUGGAGUGCGGCAGGGGUGGCUGGAAUUCCUGGUGUAGCGGUGGAAUGCGCAGAUAUCAGGAAGAACACCGAUGGCGAAGGCAGGCCACUGGGCCGUCACUGACGCUGAGGAGCGAAAGCGUGGGGAGCGAACAGG
Molecule: ribosomal RNA, 692 nt
Filed under: uncultured Actinomycetaceae bacterium
Lineage: Bacteria; Bacillati; Actinomycetota; Actinomycetes; Actinomycetales; Actinomycetaceae
Description: bacterial SSU rRNA
Rfam family: Bacterial small subunit ribosomal RNA
Source: RNAcentral